RNAcentral lists this ribosomal RNA (508 nucleotides) under uncultured bacterium. RNAcentral describes it as "bacterial SSU rRNA". It matches the Rfam family "Bacterial small subunit ribosomal RNA", at positions 8 to 518 of the family's 1533-position model. The record is from RNAcentral.
AGGGUUCGAUUCUGGCUCAGGAUGAACGCUGGCGGCGUGCUUAACACAUGCAAGUCGAACGGAACUAUUAUGGAAAUCUUCGGAUGGGAAGUUUAGUUAGUGGCGAACGGGUGAGUAACGCGUGAGGAACCUGCCUUUCAGAGGGGGACAACAGUUGGAAACGACUGCUAAUACCGCAUAACAUGUUAUCUUCGCAUGAAGGGAACAUCAAAGAUUUUAUCGCUGAAAGAUGGCCUCGCGUCUGAUUAGAUAGUUGGUGGGGUAACGGCCUACCAAGUCGACGAUCAGUAGCCGGACUGAGAGGUUGAACGGCCACAUUGGGACUGAGAUACGGCCCAGACUCCUACGGGAGGCAGCAGUGGGGAAUAUUGGGCAAUGGGCGCAAGCCUGACCCAGCAACGCCGCGUGAAGGAAGAAGGCUUUCGGGUUGUAAACUUCUUUUACCAGGGACGAAGGAUGUGACGGUACCUGGAGAAAAAGCCACGGCUAACUACGUGCCAGCCGCGGC